Molecule: ribosomal RNA, 259 nt
Filed under: uncultured prokaryote
Description: partial 16S ribosomal RNA
Rfam family: Bacterial small subunit ribosomal RNA
Source: RNAcentral
UACGGAGGAUGCGAACGUUAUCCGGAUUUAUUGGGUUUAAAGGGUGCGUAGGCGGCUUUUUAAGUCAGCGGUGAAAUUUUGCAGCUUAACUGUAACAGUGCCGUUGAUACUGGGGAGCUAGGAUUUGGUUGCUGUGGGUGGAAUGUGUGGUGUAGCGGUGAAAUGCUUAGAGAUCACACAGAAUAUCGAUUGCGAAGGCAGCUCACAAAGCCAAGAUUGACGCUGAGGCACGAAAGUGUGGGGAUCAAACAGGAUUAGA